RNAcentral lists this long non-coding RNA (1181 nucleotides) under Monodelphis domestica (gray short-tailed opossum). RNAcentral describes it as "lncRNA (ENSMODG00000038225.1)". The record is from RNAcentral. Lineage: Eukaryota; Metazoa; Chordata; Mammalia; Didelphimorphia; Didelphidae.
AUACAUAUAAAAAUGAGUACUACAUUCUUUGACAAUUAUAUGGCAGCUGAAGAAGUAGGGGCAUUGAGGAAUGAAGGAUACCUCCAAAUUUUUAUAUUAAUAGGUACUGUCAUUUUUGUACUCCUCAAUACUAUAUUUAGAGAUGAAAAAAUAAAAAAUAUUGAGGAUAAAAUAAAACAAAAUGAGGAUAAAAUAGAAAAUAUUGAGGAUAAAAUAGAAAAUGUUGAGGAUAAAAUAGAAAAAAAUGAGGAUAAAAUAGAAAAUAUUGAGGAUAAAAUAGAAAAUAUUGAGGAUAAAAUAGAAAAAAUUGAGGAUACAAUAGAAAAAAUUGAGGAUAAAAUAGGAAAUAUUGAGAAUAAAAUAGAAAAACUUGAGGAUAAAAUAGGAAAUAUUGAGAAUAAAAUAGGAAAUAUUGAGGAUAAAAUGGGAGAUAUGGAAGAUAAAAUAGGAAAAAUUGAGGAUAAAAUGCAAGCCCAAUUAGAAGAUCUAAAAUGUUUCUUACAGGAUCAAUGGGCAAACACCCACUCUACCAGAAACAGACCUGUUUCUGAACCUUUGAAUGAGGAAAUUUCCUUCCCUGAAAUAGAGAUGGAAAACACCUUCCCUAUAGCCCAGUUAACAGACGGCUUCUCUCGUGCAGUGCAAAUCUUGUCUGAAUUUAAUCCCCAAAACCCUUCCCCUGCAAUCCCAGCUUCUCAUGUUCCUUCUCCUACAGAAAACCAAAUUCCAAUGCAAGGGAGAUCUUGUCCUCCUAGAGAAACCUGUCCUUGUCAAACUGACCCACAGGUGCAAAAUUCAACUAGAGGCCUGUUUCCUCUAAGAGAAGUACCUGAAAUAGGACGAAAUGGGGAUGUGGUGACUUUAAGACAUAGGAUACCGUUUACUCCCCAAGAAAUAAAUGAAUUUACACGAAAUAUCCCCACAUAUGAACAAGAUCCUUUUCUAGUAACAAAAAAGAUGGGAGACAUAUUUUUUCAAUAUAAUCCGUCUUACAAGGACGUUGAGAGCUUACUACAGGCUUUUUUAAGUGAAUGUGAAAAAAAUAAAAUAAUUGCUCAUGUCAACAAAACCCGGGGGCGUAAUGCAGCACAUUGGCCAUCUCAGGAUCCCGAAUGGGACUAUAAUAAUCCUGAGGACUAUCUACAACUAUACCGUUGUAGAGAGGCCAUCCUAACGGCCAU